GAUGAACGCUGGCGGCGUGCCUAAUACAUGCAAGUCGAGCGAACAGACGAGGAGCUUGCUCCUCUGACGUUAGCGGCGGACGGGUGAGUAACACGUGGAUAACCUACCUAUAAGACUGGGAUAACUUCGGGAAACCGGAGCUAAUACCGGAUAAUAUAUUGAACCGCAUGGUUCAAUAGUGAAAGACGGUUUUGCUGUCACUUAUAGAUGGAUCCGCGCCGCAUUAGCUAGUUGGUAAGGUAACGGCUUACCAAGGCAACCAUGCGUGGCCGACCUGAGAGGGUGAUCGGCCACACUGGAACUGAGACACGGUCCAGACUCCUACGGGAGGCAGCAGUAGGGAAUCUUCCGCAAUGGGCGAAAGCCUGACGGAGCAACGCCGCGUGAGUGAUGAAGGUCUUCGGAUCGUAAAACUCUGUUAUUAGGGAAGAACAAAUGUGUAAGUAACUAUGCACGUCUUGACGGUACCUAAUCAGAAAGCCACGGCUAACUACGUG
This 497-nucleotide ribosomal RNA is filed under the name uncultured bacterium. RNAcentral describes it as "partial 16S ribosomal RNA". It matches the Rfam family "Bacterial small subunit ribosomal RNA", at positions 28 to 507 of the family's 1533-position model. The record is from RNAcentral.